RNAcentral lists this ribosomal RNA (1385 nucleotides) under Chryseobacterium indologenes. RNAcentral's name for it is "bacterial SSU rRNA". It matches the Rfam family "Bacterial small subunit ribosomal RNA". The record is from RNAcentral. Lineage: Bacteria; Pseudomonadati; Bacteroidota; Flavobacteriia; Flavobacteriales; Weeksellaceae.
UGCAGCCGAGCGGUAGAGUUUCUUCGGGNACUUGAGAGCGGCGUACGGGUGCGGAACACGUGUGCAACCUGCCUUUAUCAGGGGGAUAGCCUUUCGAAAGGAAGAUUAAUACCCCAUAAUAUUUAGAAUGGCAUCAUUUUAAAUUGAAAACUCCGGUGGAUAGAGAUGGGCACGCGCAAGAUUAGAUAGUUGGUGAGGUAACGGCUCACCAAGUCUGCGAUCUUUAGGGGGCCUGAGAGGGUGAUCCCCCACACUGGUACUGAGACACGGACCAGACUCCUACGGGAGGCAGCAGUGAGGAAUAUUGGACAAUGGGUGGGAGCCUGAUCCAGCCAUCCCGCGUGAAGGACGACGGCCCUAUGGGUUGUAAACUUCUUUUGUAUAGGGAUAAACCUACCCUCGUGAGGGUAGCUGAAGGUACUAUACGAAUAAGCACCGGCUAACUCCGUGCCAGCAGCCGCGGUAAUACGGAGGGUGCAAGCGUUAUCCGGAUUUAUUGGGUUUAAAGGGUCCGUAGGCGGAUCUGUAAGUCAGUGGUGAAAUCUCACAGCUUAACUGUGAAACUGCCAUUGAUACUGCAGGUCUUGAGUGUUGUUGAAGUAGCUGGAAUAAGUAGUGUAGCGGUGAAAUGCAUAGAUAUUACUUAGAACACCAAUUGCGAAGGCAGGUUACUAAGCAACAACUGACGCUGAUGGACGAAAGCGUGGGGAGCGAACAGGAUUAGAUACCCUGGUAGUCCACGCCGUAAACGAUGCUAACUCGUUUUUGGUAUUUCGGUAUCAGAGACUAAGCGAAAGUGAUAAGUUAGCCACCUGGGGNAGUACGUUCGCAAGAAUGAAACUCAAAGGAAUUGACGGGGGGCCCGCACAAGCGGUGGAUUAUGUGGUUUAAUUCGAUGAUACGCGAGGAACCUUACCAAGGCUUAAAUGGGAAAUGACAGGUUUAGAAAUAGACUUUUCUUCGGACAUUUUUNCAAGGUGCUGCAUGGUUGUCGUCAGCUCGUGCCGUGAGGUGUUAGGUUAAGUCCUGCAACGAGCGCAACCCCUGUCACUAGUUGCCAUCAUUAAGUUGGGGACUCUAGUGAGACUGCCUACGCAAGUAGAGAGGAAGGUGGGGAUGACGUCAAAUCAUCACGGCCCUUACGCCUUGGGCCACACACGUAAUACAAUGGCCGGUACAGAGGGCAGCUACACAGCGAUGUGAUGCAAAUCUCGAAAGCCGGUCUCAGUUCGGAUUGGAGUCUGCAACUCGACUCUAUGAAGCUGGAAUCGCUAGUAAUCGCGCAUCAGCCAUGGCGCGGUGAAUACGUUCCCGGGCCUUGUACACACCGCCCGUCAAGCCAUGGAAGUCUGNNGGUACCUGAAGUCGGUGCACCGUAACAGAGC